RNAcentral lists this ribosomal RNA (252 nucleotides) under uncultured bacterium. Its description in RNAcentral is "partial 16S ribosomal RNA". It matches the Rfam family "Bacterial small subunit ribosomal RNA", at positions 524 to 776 of the family's 1533-position model. RNAcentral also lists the same sequence under 1 other name. The record is from RNAcentral.
UACGUAGGUGGCAAGCGUUAUCCGGAAUUAUUGGGCGUAAAGGGUGCGUAGGCGGUUUAUUAAGUCUAUGGUGAAAGUGCGGGGCUCAACCCCGUAUGGCCAUAGAAACUGAUAGACUAGAGUGCAGGAGAGGGCAAUGGAAUUCCAUGUGUAGCGGUAAAAUGCGUAGAUAUAUGGAGGAACACCAGUGGCGAAGGCGGUUGCCUGGCCUGUAACUGACGCUGAAGCACGAAAGCGUGGGGAGCAAAUAGG